This 465-nucleotide ribosomal RNA is filed under the name Vreelandella stevensii. RNAcentral describes it as "partial 16S ribosomal RNA". It matches the Rfam family "Bacterial small subunit ribosomal RNA", at positions 338 to 795 of the family's 1533-position model. The record is from RNAcentral. Lineage: Bacteria; Pseudomonadati; Pseudomonadota; Gammaproteobacteria; Oceanospirillales; Halomonadaceae.
CCUACGGGUGGCAGCAGUGGGGAAUAUUGGACAAUGGGCGAAAGCCUGAUCCAGCCAUGCCGCGUGUGUGAAGAAGGCCUUCGGGUUGUAAAGCACUUUCAGUGGGGAAGAAAGCCUUGGGGCUAAUACCCUCGAGGAAGGACAUCACCCACAGAAGAAGCACCGGCUAACUCCGUGCCAGCAGCCGCGGUAAUACGGAGGGUGCGAGCGUUAAUCGGAAUUACUGGGCGUAAAGCGCGCGUAGGCGGUCUGAUAAGCCGGUUGUGAAAGCCCCGGGCUCAACCUGGGAACGGCAUCCGGAACUGUCAGGCUAGAGUGCAGGAGAGGAAGGUAGAAUUCCCGGUGUAGCGGUGAAAUGCGUAGAGAUCGGGAGGAAUACCAGUGGCGAAGGCGGCCUUCUGGACUGACACUGACGCUGAGGUGCGAAAGCGUGGGGAGCAAACAGGAUUAGAUACCCGAGUAGUC